This 4409-nucleotide long non-coding RNA is filed under the name Nicotiana benthamiana. RNAcentral's name for it is "long non-coding RNA (NBEN_LNC020953)". Lineage: Eukaryota; Viridiplantae; Streptophyta; Magnoliopsida; Solanales; Solanaceae. The record is from RNAcentral.
AAAUACACAUUUUAUGCCUUGGGGAAGGGCUGGAACCUUUUCAGCCCCAAAAUCCAAGAACAAAAAUCAUAUUUUCCUUGUAUUUUCAAUUUUAGUUAGGUUCUCAAUUUUAGCUCAAAAAAUUCCACAAAAAUUUGCUUGUCCUUUCAUUUUUAGCUUUCAAAAUUAGAUCCAACAUUCAAAUACACCAAAAAAUACAAAAAAAAAUGCAUACAGAAAUAGAAAACAACAAAAAAAUGUUCACUGCUCAUUGGUUGUAAGUAGCUUCUGGUUUUUUUUUUCCUUGGGUGUUCUUUCUUAUAGCUUGAUUUGAAAUUUUGGUUGAGUUGGUUUGGGGUUUAUUCCUGCUGGAUUGUGGUCUUUUCUGUUGGAUUUUUAAGUUUUCCGGGUUCAUAGAUUGCAUUCAUGGGUUUCUUGUUGCUGCUUGGUUCACUGAGCAUUUUGCUGCAUUAAGCUGCUGCUGACUACUUUCCAUCUUCUCAAUUGAAUCAUACUUCAGGUACACGCCUUGAGAUCAGUCUGAUGUAAAUUUUUAAAUGGAAAUGCAGUGGCAGCUUGAUACUUGUUUGGGCCUUCACUGCUCUAUGUUGUUCAAUUAAAUUGUAGUUAGUUUUAGGAUGCAUUUUCUGAUGAAAUCGCUGCUUUAGUUCUGAUGGUAAUGAAUUGGUCGAACUGUUAAUAUGUCAGGGACUACCUAAAUCUUUAAUUCGUAUAAGACUGAACAUUGAUUUUGAGCUAGCAGAACUGUAAUAAUUUGAACUAUGUCAUUAGGACUACUUUAAUGACUUUGGAUUGUUUUAACUGUCAUUUGUAUUUGCUUAAACUUUGUUAGCUGGAAAUUGCUUAGAGGUUUGGUAAGUAGGAGUGAUUUGGGACUUAAGUAGAAUUUUAAUUGCUUUUCUUUCAGAAAAAAAUAAGAAGAAGAGAAAACUAGCAAUAGUAAAAUCGUAGCCUUCUUAGAAUUAUCUUUAAAAUUAAUAAAGAGAUGAGCCUCGCCCAAGCAAAAACAAAUGCGGGGCCCUUGAUAAGAAUUAUAGAAUUAAUUUAGAAUAUGGGAGGGCCAUUUAGCGAAUUUCAUGGCCUUACCCAAAUUAAUAAUACGCUAGAAUCUUUAGACGCGUUUGAUUAAAAUACCUUCCAAAAUUCGGGUAUGCAUUGAUGCAACCCAAAUCCAAAUCUCGACGAAGUCGAAAUGUGUUGAUAACCACGAGUGCCUUGAUGGCAACGCGGUUAGAGACGCGUCUUCAUGACGUCGUAUUUCUUAUAAAAUGAAUAAUGAUUAAAAAAGGUUCAAAACUAGAGACAAGCCUCACUGAAUAAGAAUAAAUGUGGGGCCCUCAAUAAUUAGUUAUUAAAAAUGAUUAGAAUUUGGAAGGCCAUUUAGCAAAUUUCAACGGCCUUUCCCAAAUAUUAUUGCGUUAGAACCUUUAAGCGCUAUUUAAUUAAAUUACUUUCUUAAACUUGUGUGUGCAUUGAUUGUGACACAAAUUCAAAUCUCGAUGAAGUCGAAAUGUGUCAAUGACUACGUGUGUCUUGAUGGCGACGCGGUCAGAGACGUGUUUUCACGACGUCGCAAGUCUUUUAAAAAUAAAUAAAGAUAAAAGUGGUUUAUAAAUAAAAGGCGUAUAAGUUAGCAUGCUUUAAAAUAAGAUUUUAAUCAAAUACAAUAAUUUAAGCGACCUUGCUAGAACUACAGGAUCCGAGGGUGCCUAACAGCUUCCCUCAGGUCAACAGAAUUCCUUAUUCAGAAUUUCUGGUUCGCAGACUCCAAUCGGAAGUCGAAAUUUUCCUCGGUUCGGGAUUAAAGAAAAAAUCGGUGACUUGGGACACCAAAAGCGAAACCUUUCCCAAGUGAUGAUUCUGAACAAAUAAAUAAUCCCGAUUCGAAUAAUGUCACUUUAAAUGGAAAAACUCCCUUAUACAUUUAUCCUUCGGGGUAAGGUGUGUAAAAAAGGAGGUGUGACAAUUAAUUGUGUACAUGAACGUGUGACAUGAUUCUUAAUGCACCAAACAAAAAAGUAUACUUGUGGGAGACUUAUUUCAAGAUAAAUUCCAUAAAUCCUUAAAUAAGAAAAUAAAAACAGUUUAAAAACAAAAAUACAUAAAAUACCUAAAACAUAGAAUAUUCGGGUUAAUUAAGCCAAUAGUUAAGUGAUCAUGCUAAAAUUACGAAACUUGGGAGUAACUUACAUCUUCUUCCUGAUUAAUAAAAAUUGUUUAAAAUAAUAAAUCAACCCCUUUUCAAACAAUAUCAAUUUAAUUGGAAAAAAUCAUCCUUUCACAAUCCCAGAGAAGGAGGUGUGACAAUUACCAAUACACUCUUUUCUACCCUAUUUCUAGAUUUGUGUUUGUUGUUCAAUUUUCAUUUCCCUGCUCAUAUCAUAUCAAGAGACAUAUGUAACAAUAACGUAAAAGAUAAAAUAAAAAUCCUUUCAUACAAAAUUGACUAAUCAAAGUAAAAUUAUCAUAAUUGCCAAUUUAUGAUUAACACAUUAAAAAAGGAUCAAUAUACAUUCAUUAUUUUAAUAUUUUAAUUUCAAUCAAAAUCAUAGGGAAAAUACGAAAAUAUGUAAUAAUUGAUAAUUAUUGGAAAUUAAUUUGAAAUUUAAAAUUUUCAACAAGAGUUAUAUUAUUUUGGCCGUCAAAUUUAAGUUAACUUAAGUUAUUCGUUCGGUUCAAAAGGUGAAAAGAAUAUUAUUUGUACAGUCAAAAAGUUAAGGCAUUUAUAUGAAUUUUACUCGAAGCUUACACAUCAACAGUAGAAGUAGAGUCAAAAUUACUAUAAAUUACACUAAGAUUAAUUAUUUGAUAAAUAGAUAGAGUAAUAAUAUGUUGUAAUUUGGCCGUCAAAUUUAUGGUUAACUUAAGUUAUUCGUUCGGUUCAAAAGGUAAAAAGAAUAUUAUUUGUCAGAGUCAAAAAGUUAAGGCAUUUAUAUGAAUUUGACUCUAAAAUUUACACAUCAAGAGUUAAAGUAGAUUUAGAAUACUAUAAAUUACGCUAAGAUUCAUUAUUUGAGAAAUAGAGUAAUAAUAUGUUGUAACUUGCACAAAUGACGUUGAUAAUUUGAAAGUACAAAGAUUAUAUUUCGAAGCUUAAUUUUUGUAUAUUAAUGGUGUUGAACGUGGCAAUAUGGAUUAAAAAGACAGUUAUUCAUCCAUAUUAUCCAUUAAAAAAUGAGCUGGAUAAUAGAUUUUUUAAAACAAAUCAAAUAUGGAUAAGAACCGUAUUAUCCAUUUAGAAAAUAGAUAACAAACGAAUAAUCAUUGAAUAACUAAUGAGUUCAACUUUUACAAGACUCAAAUUGGGGGUUCUCAAGUUUGGGAGAUUACCAAGCCUCCCAAAAAUGAUAAUAUUCAAAAAAUCAUGAAUAAUAUGAAUGUCCAUAUUAUCUACCAGUUAACCCAUUUUCUAUCUAUAUUAAAAAAAGAUUUAGUCGAUCCGUUUCUAUCUUUAGUCGAUUCAUUUUUACAUUAUCUGUUUUUGACCUGUCUAAAUCCGUCCCGACCCUUCCUUUUGCCACCCUACUGGUGUAUAAAUUUUUGUAUACAAUAAUAUUAAGUUGGCCAACAAGUAACCAGAAUAGAUAACAUUUAUUAUCAAGAGCUUGUUUGGCCAAACUACCAAAAUUUAAAGUGUUCAAAAGUGUUUUUCCUCUAAAAAAUGCUUUUAACAUAAAAGCCUUUUUAAAUGUCAAAUUAUGAAAAAGUAAGUAUAUAUUUUCUUUAAAAUCAAUAUUAUUCAAAUGAAAAAUGUUAAAUUAUUUAUUAUUAAAGACCUUACUUACUUUUAAUUUUAUUUAAUUAAAAUAUCUCCCCAUCUGUUUGAAAUUUAGUGAGAUUUGUGAAAAAGGAGAAAACCACUGUAAUUAAUGAGAAAGGGGAUAAUCUCCUAUAUAUAUAUCAACUACUACAUACAGAGAGACCCAUUACAAAACUUAGUUAAACUACUACUAGGCAAACCUACGUUAGUACUACUACUGCCUUGAGCAUGCAACAUAGUAUUUACAUAGGUAUUACUACUAAAGUCAUCCACUGUUUGGUUUAUAGUUACAUGCAAAAUGUGACUCUUGUCAUUUUCCAGAGCUGGAGUUACAAAAGGAGAGGCCACAUGAUAAACAUAAGGAUCAAUCAUAGGAACAAAAAGUUUGGCUGCCUUUGCUAGUUGAUCCGCUACCAUAUUCUGUUCUCUGUAUGCAUAUCGUACUUGCGGAUUAUUAAAUCGGUGGAGAAGGUACCUGCAAUUGGUUAUCAUAUUAGAAUAAGGAUGAUUUUCAGUUUGUAACAUAGUAGUAAUUUGUUUAGCAUCCAGCUCUACUUCUAUAGGCAUCAAUUAUAUUGCAAGGCUAAAUUAAGGCCUGUGAUCAAAGCAUAUAAUUCAGUUGAUAUUGCAGAUCCCUUAUGUAUGCCUU